RNA transcript from Gadus morhua (Atlantic cod), 1411 nucleotides. RefSeq lists it as uncharacterized. The record is from RefSeq and is a predicted model, not a curated record. The transcript is spliced from 5 exons. Lineage: Eukaryota; Metazoa; Chordata; Actinopteri; Gadiformes; Gadidae.
AGGGGGCGGGCACUCAGUCCACAUGGAGGGGGCCGGCACUCCGCCCACAUGGAGGGGGCGGAUACUCAUGCUGCGUUCGAGUAUUCUCUGCGAACCGACUCGGAUCUCGGAUCUGACGCCACGCCCGUCCACAUCGAGGGGGCGGCCACUCAGUUCACAUUGAGGACUGGUCAAACAGCAUGUGCAGCAUCUGAUCCCGUUUCUGACCUGAAAUUACCUGAAAUUAGAGUGUGCCCGCCCGAGCUAGUGAUGCCUAAAACAUGCAAAGACACGUCAGUGUAAUUGUGAAUGGCGAGAGCCCUGAAAUACAGCUGGACAGCAGCGGUCUACAUCACUGCCCCUUCUUCAGAUACAAAGGGUCAAAAUGUGAUAUCGACCAUCACAUUAAAUGCCAUGCCUCGGUUAAAUACAGAGGUCUGCAGAGGAGCUUUCAGGAAGCAGGAAGAGAAGACGGGAGGAAAAAAAGCUACAGGAUAAAGAUCUCUGCACAAAAAGGGCUAGAGUUGCUCCAACAGCAUCCAGCUCUGAAGGAUCAGGUCAUGUAUAGACUGUUAAUCCUGGUGAAUCCAUGUAGGCCUACACAUAUUCAGAGUGUUUGUGAGAUAUGAUUGAUUCUAUUUGGCUUCUACUUCCAAAUUAAGUUGUACACAUAUCUCCAUCAAUAUACAAGUUAUAGCCUACUCCAUGGCUGAUCUAUUGCGCAUACUAGGGCCUACUUUUAUUAUUCCAUUGUAUUGGCCUACUCAACAUUACAGACAACAAUCUGUUUUAUUUCCAGACAAAACUGAAGACCAGGAACUGGAACCUGGGAACCUAGUAUAUAAUAUGAAGAUUAUGUUGUCCUGAAGGACACAAUUCAGGCAGCAGCAUGGUGCCACUUACAGUCCUUCAAGGACAGCGUUUCUCUCCCAGAGGUCAUUGGGAUGGAAGGUUGGGAGCAGAUGGCAGCAUCAACACAGCGCAAAUCCCAUGACGGCGGGGAUGAGGAAGAAACGUGGAAACCAUUCCAAUUCUCAUUCAGAUUACAUACUGACUAUGAACUGUUCUGUGUGGAGAUGAUGGACAGGAGAAACCUGAAGGUGUUUGCCUCUUUUGAGUCAAACACCUCUCCCCCUCCCCGUCCCCCUCCCCGUGACGCCUGCGCCACACGACUCCAAUGUAGUCUGAUGAUGCAGCAUAAUGGCGGCGCUUGGCAGCUAUGGCGGCGGUGACGGCGAUGUCGGGCGACAGAGCGUGAAGCAAGAGUGGCAUCCACCUCACUGAGGAAGGCGUCAGUGUGUUCCCCCUUUGUUGUUUGACUUUGUUUGUUCUACUCUUUAUUGAUUUAUCUUUUAUGUUAAUAGUUUACAAUCUAUUUUUUGUAGUUGUUAUUUUUUAAUUGUUUUGUUGAAUAAAAAGACAGUUGUUAGUG